Molecule: small RNA, 28 nt
Filed under: Bombyx mori (domestic silkworm)
Lineage: Eukaryota; Metazoa; Arthropoda; Insecta; Lepidoptera; Bombycidae
Description: ovarian small RNA-21098
Source: RNAcentral
UACGCUCAGCCCGGGGAGGGGAGGUUCG